This 2357-nucleotide small RNA is filed under the name Arabidopsis thaliana (thale cress). Its description in RNAcentral is "ATSL300070". Lineage: Eukaryota; Viridiplantae; Streptophyta; Magnoliopsida; Brassicales; Brassicaceae. The record is from RNAcentral.
UGUGUUGGUACAAACAAAUGGUGGAUCGUUGACACGUGAACAAAACUUAAUUCCAAUGGUUAUAUCGUUAUGAACUCCCAAAUGUUUAAAAGCAUGCACCACCAAUAAUCUUAUUCUUUUUUAGCCGAUUGUUGGAUACGACAUGCAUAAGCCCUUGAAUUGAUAUCAACGUGAAGCCGAAAGUGAGAUUUAGGUCUGACAUGCGCAAUACCACUGAAUUGAAUUGGUACCCUUAUUUUUUGUAUUCCACUAGGCACUAGUAGUAGCUAUGAUAUAUAAUCGAUCAAUGAACUAAUAGUAAUUUCAAGCCAUGCACGCCGAUAAAACAGUACAAACCUCAAAAUGAUAUGAUAUUGUUUGGAGUUGUUAACUCUUUAAUUAUCGUUCUUUUCUUCAUAUAAAAAAUAGGAUUUUUAGUAAUUAAACCCCCCAACUAAAGAUAUAUUGUGAAAAAACCCCUCAAUUAUUUAUUUAAUGAAAAAACACCUGAAGUUUAAAAUUAUUUGUGAAAACCACCCGCCGUCUACAGUACCGUCAAAAUAAAACGAUGUGUUUUAAAUAUAAAAAAAUGACAUGUUUUUUUGCUUAAAACAACACGAAAUAAUCAAAAAACAACACGAAGUUCUUAUACCUUAUUAUAAACCCCUAAAUCCACUUUAGCUCUUAAAUCGACGACAUUGAAUCGCGAAAUUUUGUAGACUGAAUGCGGCUGGAGCUUGCAAGAUGUUAAGGUAACUGUUACAAGACAUUCUUAUUGGUUUUAGUUUUCCUUUUCACGUACUCUAAAAACUUUUUUUUUUGCUUCGAUCCAUACUUUGACUUUUAAACUCACCUUGGGGAGUUAAUUUCUUUGGUGCACUAUAGAGCCACGUCUUUGAGUUUAUGUGAUGGCGUUCAUGCUUAGAGAUGCUACAUGUAUACUCGUGCCCACUUCUUAUAUCUUUUGAAUUUUGUUGGAAAAUAUUCUUGUUUUUUCAAUUUUUUAAAUUGGUUUUGAGACGUAUAUCUUAUUCCUUGCAUUACAUGAUACAAUAUUAAAAACUUAGGAGAUUGAUCAGAAUUUUAGAGAGUUUUUGAUAAUUGUAUUUGUCAGGACACUUUUCUUUCGAUUGCAUGUAGGAGGAUAUUGGGCAGCAGAUGGUUCAUACCAUGGCGGUGAGACAAGAUGUUUACAGCUUGAUUUUGAAGUUCCUAGUUUAGCAAUGUUGACAAAUAUGGUUUUGAGUGCUGGUUAUACAGAAAAUAUGAGUAAGUUUUCUUACUUCCCAUCUGGAGAAGUAGGUCAGAAUCGUAAGGAUUUGUGUGGUGAUAGUGAUGUUGCCGAAAUGAUUACGUGUACACAUGAGUUGGAAAGCAAGAAUUUAUAUGUUGUUAGGGCAGAUGAUCCUUAUCUAGAUGAUGUUCUUAUUGGAGAAAGGGAGGAAGAAGAGGAGCUUGAGAGUGAACAACUUGAUUUUUACCGUGAUGAUUAUGUCGAGAGUGAUGACUCAGAUGAUGAUGGUGCUAGAAUAGAUUUUUAUGUAGGGCAAGAGUUUGUUUCUAAAGAGAAGUGUAAGGAUACAAUUGAGAAGUAUGCUAUUAGAGAGAAGGUGAAUAUACAUUUUAAGAGAUCCGAAAGGAAUAAAAUAGAAGGAGUGUGUGUUCAGGAUUGUUGCAAGUGGAGAAUAUAUGCAUCAAUAACCAGUCGUUCAGACAAAAUGGUUGUUCAAUCUUACAAAGGAAUUCACAGUUGUUAUCCUAUAGGUGUUGUGGAUCUCUAUAGUGCACCAAAGAUAGCUGCUGAUUUUAUAAAUGAGUUUAGGACUAAUUCGAACUUGUCAGCUGGCCAAAUAAUGCAGAGGUUGUAUCUAAAUGGUCUUCGAGUCACAAAAACUAAAUGUCAGAGUGCAAGGCAGAUUAUGAAACACAUCAUUAGUGAUGAGUAUGUUGAGCAGUUUACGAGAAUGUAUGAUUAUGUUGAAGAGCUGAGAAAGACUAAUCCAGGUUCAACAAUUAUUUUAGGUACAAAAGAUAGAAUUUUUGAGAAAUUCUAUACUUGCUUCGAAGCUCAAAAAACGGGUUGGAAGACAGCAUGUCGACGUGUUAUUCAUUUGGGUGGAACAUUUCUAAAGGGACGCAUGAAAGGACAAUUGUUGACUGCUGUGGGAAGGGAUCCUAAUGAUGCAAUGUAUAUCAUCGCAUGGGCUAUUGUACCAGUGGAGAACAAGGUCUAUUGGCAGUGGUUUAUGGAGUUAUUAGGAGAAGACUUACGUUUGGAGCUUGGUAAUGGUCUUGCAUUAUCUUCGGAUCAGCAAAAGGGACUGAUAUAUGCAAUAAAAAACGUCCUACCUUACGCAGAGCAUAGAAUGUGUGCUAGA